RNAcentral lists this ribosomal RNA (529 nucleotides) under uncultured Actinomycetes bacterium. RNAcentral describes it as "SSU rRNA". It matches the Rfam family "Bacterial small subunit ribosomal RNA", at positions 376 to 915 of the family's 1533-position model. The record is from RNAcentral. Lineage: Bacteria; Bacillati; Actinomycetota; Actinomycetes.
UGAAAGCCUGAUGCAGCGACGCCGCGGGAGAGAUGACGGCCUUCGGGUUGUAAACCUCUUUCAGCAGGGAAGAAGCGCAAGUGACGGUACCUGCAGAAGAAGCACCGGCUAACUACGUGCCAGCAGCCGCGGUAAUACGUAGGGUGCGAGCGUUGUCCGGAUUUAUUGGGCGUAAAGAGCUCGUAGGCGGCUUGUCGCGUCGGAUGUGAAAGCCCGGGGCUUAACUCCGGGUCUGCAUUCGAUACGGGCAGGCUAGAGUGUGGUAGGGGAGAUCGGAAUUCCUGGUGUAGCGGUGAAAUGCGCAGAUAUCAGGAGGAAUACCGGUGGCGAAGGCGGAUCUCUGGGCCAUUACUGACGCUGAGGAGCGAAAGCGUGGGGAGCGAACAGGAUUAGAUACCCUGGUAGUCCACGCCGUAAACGUUGGGAACUAGGUGUGGGUCACAUUCCACGUGGUCCGCGCCGCAGCUAACGCAUUAAGUUCCCCGCCUGGGGAGUACGGCCGCAAGGCUAAAACUCAAAGGAAUUGACG